Molecule: ribosomal RNA, 492 nt
Filed under: uncultured bacterium
Lineage: Bacteria
Description: partial 16S ribosomal RNA
Rfam family: Bacterial small subunit ribosomal RNA
Source: RNAcentral
AGUGAACGCUGGCGGUAGGCCUAAUACAUGCAAGUCGAACGGCAGCACAGUAAGAGCUUGCUCUUACGGGUGGCGAGUGGCGGACGGGUGAGGAAUACAUCGGAAUCUACUUUUUCGUGGGGGAUAACGUAGGGAAACUUACGCUAAUACCGCAUACGACCUACGGGUGAAAGCAGGGGAUCUUCGGACCUUGCGCGAUUGAAUGAGCCGAUGUCGGAUUAGCUAGUUGGCGGGGUAAAGGCCCACCAAGGCGACGAUCCGUAGCUGGUCUGAGAGGAUGAUCAGCCACACUGGAACUGAGACACGGUCCAGACUCCUACGGGAGGCAGCAGUGGGGAAUAUUGGACAAUGGGCGCAAGCCUGAUCCAGCCAUACCGCGUGGGUGAAGAAGGCCUUCGGGUUGUAAAGCCCUUUUGUUGGGAAAGAAAAACAGCAGGUUAAUACCCCGCUGUUCUGACGGUACCCAAAGAAUAAGCACCGGCUAACUUCGUG